CCUUGACAUACUAAGAACUUUCCAGAGAUGGAUUGGUGCCUUCGGGAACUUAGAUACAGGUGCUGCAUGGCUGUCGUCAGCUCGUGUCGUGAGAUGUUGGGUUAAGUCCCGNAACGAGCGCAACCCUUUUCCUUAUUUGCCAGCGGGUCAUGCCGGGAACUUUAAGGAUACUGCCAGUGACAAACUGGAGGAAGGCGGGGACGACGUCAAGCCAUCAUGGCCCUUACGGCCAGGGCUACACACGUGCUACAAUGGUCGGUACAAAGGGUUGCUACCUCGCGAGAGGAUGCUAAUCUCAAAAAGCCGAUCGUAGUCCGGAUCGCAGUCUGCAACUCGACUGCGUGAAGUCGGAAUCGCUAGUAAUCGCGGAUCAGAAUGCCGCGGUGAAUACGUUCCCGGGCCUUGUACACACCGCCCGUCACACCAUGGGAGUUUGUUGCACCAGAAGUAGGUAGUCUAACCGCAAGGAGGACGCUUACCACGGUGUGGCCGAUGACUGGGGUGAAGUCGUAACAAGGUAAGCGUAGAUGA
RNAcentral lists this ribosomal RNA (531 nucleotides) under uncultured bacterium. Its description in RNAcentral is "bacterial SSU rRNA". It matches the Rfam family "Bacterial small subunit ribosomal RNA", at positions 979 to 1509 of the family's 1533-position model. The record is from RNAcentral.